GUGUCAGCAGCCGCGGUAAGACAGAGGGUGCAAACGUUGCUCGGAAUUACUGGGCGUAAAGCGCGUGUAGGCGGAUCGGAAAGUCGGGCGUGAAAGCCCUAGGCUCAACCUAGGAACUGCACCCGAAACUCCCAGUCUUGAGUGGUGGAGAGGGAAGUGGAAUUCCUGGUGUAGAGGUGAAAUUCGUAGAUAUCAGGAGGAACACCAGUGGCGAAGGCGGCUUCCUGGACACCAACUGACGCUGAGACGCGAAAGCGUGGGGAGCAAACAGGAUUAGAUACCCUUGUAGUCC
RNAcentral lists this ribosomal RNA (292 nucleotides) under uncultured bacterium. RNAcentral describes it as "partial 16S ribosomal RNA". It matches the Rfam family "Bacterial small subunit ribosomal RNA", at positions 505 to 796 of the family's 1533-position model. The record is from RNAcentral.